UUGUAAAGUAUCUAUGACAUAAUCCACAUUCGUAUUUUGAAGUUUUAAUUCUCCUAUGCGUCUUCACAGCGCAGAAUAUUCUGUCUGAGGGCGAGAGAUUGUUAUUAUCAUGUCAUAGGGGGCCGCCAUACUUGCUAUACGAAACUAAAAGUCAAUACAUGUAUAAUUUAUGACGUAAAAAAUUCGAAUUCUUCAUUGAUAAAACUUAUUUUGAUAUAAAAAAUUGUAUUUUCAGUGAAAAAUUAUUCAUAUAGUGUUUGUAAUUUUUUUUAAACAGAAAUCUUGGAAAUUCGAAACUAACGUAUUUCUUAGCUCUACCGUACAUUUUUGAAUAGGCGCAAACUUGAAAACGCGCGAGACGUUGGAAGUGGGAAUUUGUAGAGUGGAAGAAUCAGUAUUUGUGAUCUAUUAUUUGCAUAGUCACUGUGCCGUUUUCGUAUUGCAUAAUUUUAUUUCGAUCGGGUUCAAUAUUCUGUUUAUAAUGGUAGCCAUGCUGUUUGCCUGGUGUUUUGGCUGUUAAGUUAGGUGAUGUUGGCAUCCCUGAGGAUUUUUCACCCUCUCACGAGGUGUGUCCAAUAAACAGUACAGUCACUGAUCUUUGUCAACUUUUUAAGAAAAUAACAGAAUAUGAAGAAGGAAGACUAUAUAUAGGAUCGAUCUACUUCAUAACUGGAAAAAGAGAAGCAUAUAACUCUGGCUGCACAAAAAUCUGAGCUCUUGAGAAAGAAAGAAAUAAAGAAAUGAAAAUAUGAAUGAUAUUCAAUCAAAGGAUCCAAAUGAUGAAAUUCUGGAAAUUCCACAUGGAGAGACAAUAAGGAUUUUUGAAUUGACCAUCUCUGCUCAAACUGCUUGAAAGCACUGAAAACUGUUACCCUCACUACUAAGUCAGAAACGUACUGACAUUCCCAUUUUUUACUGACAAACUUAGAAAAUUACUGACAAUGUGCUGUCGUUACUGUAAAACUUAGACAAUUACUGACCUUUUUACUGCCGGUACUGAUAAACUUAGAAAAGUGCUGACAAUCUUAGUCGGUGCUGAUAAACUUAGACAAUUACUGACCCGUUUACUGUCCCUGCUGAAAAACUUAGACAAGUGCUGACAUUUACUGAUAAUUACUGUCCCUAUUGUUCUCGCUCUCGGGGAGGCUGCAGUGGUGUGAAAAUAAUUGUGUGUGAUACUUUGCAUUUAAAAACAGUCUUAUUUUAAUUUUUGAUGAAAAAAAAUCCCAGGCAGUUAUCAUUUUUUUAAUCUAAAUAUUAUUGAUAUCUGUAAAAUAAUUUAGAAUA
Long non-coding RNA from Saccostrea cuccullata (small rock oyster), 1287 nucleotides. RefSeq lists it as uncharacterized. The record is from RefSeq and is a predicted model, not a curated record. NCBI's taxonomy places the organism in Eukaryota, Metazoa, Mollusca, Bivalvia, Ostreida, Ostreidae. The transcript has 3 exons.